RNAcentral lists this transfer-messenger RNA (217 nucleotides) under Prevotella sp. HMSC077E08. RNAcentral's name for it is "partial transfer-messenger RNA". It matches the Rfam family "transfer-messenger RNA", at positions 148 to 374 of the family's 374-position model. From Rfam's summary of the family: Bacterial tmRNA, also known as 10Sa RNA or SsrA, is named for its dual tRNA and mRNA-like properties. Lineage: Bacteria; Pseudomonadati; Bacteroidota; Bacteroidia; Bacteroidales; Prevotellaceae. The record is from RNAcentral.
CUCCAAGGAUGUUGUUCCGAAUCUAAGGGUCAGGCGGUGCAGGUAAAUCGGAAAUAGCGCUUGGAUGCCUCGCUCCGGGUGUGAAUUCUUUAGAGGAUAAGGUCAUAGUUGGUGGUCCAGGUCUUGCUAUGACACGAAAAUGAAGGCUGGAAUAAACGUGUAGAAAGCGUAUGGUUUCCUUGUGCGGACGUGGGUUCGAAUCCCACCAGCUCCACUU